CCUACGGGAGGCAGCAGUGAGGAAUAUUCGUCAAUGGACGAGAGUCUGAACCAGCCAAGUAGCGUGAAGGAUGACUGCCCUAUGGGUUGUAAACUUCUUUUAUAUGGUAGUAAAAUGUUCCACGUAUGGGAUUUUGUAUGUACCGUAUGAAUAAGGAUCGGCUAACUCCGUGCCAGCAGCCGCGGUAAUACGGAGGAUCAGAGCGUUAUCCGGAUUUAUUGGGUUUAAAGGGAGCGUAGGGGGAUUGUUAAGUCAGUUGUGAAAGUUUGCGGCUCAACCGGAAAAUUGCAGUUGAAACUGGAAGUCUUGAGUACAGUAGAGGUGGGUGGAAUUCGUGGUGUAGCGGUGAAAUGCUUAGAUA
RNAcentral lists this ribosomal RNA (361 nucleotides) under uncultured bacterium. RNAcentral describes it as "partial 16S ribosomal RNA". It matches the Rfam family "Bacterial small subunit ribosomal RNA", at positions 338 to 696 of the family's 1533-position model. The record is from RNAcentral.